AGCGAACGCUAGCGGCGGGCCUAACACAUGACAAGUCGAGCGGGGAGGCAAUCCCAGCGGCGAACGGGUGAGUAACACGUGGGUAAUGUGCCUUCUGGUGGGGAAUAACCUUGGGAAACCAGGGCUAAAUACCGCAUAUCGUGCUUCGGGCAUGAAAGCCUUCGGGCGCCAGUAGAGCACGCCUGCGUCCCAUUAUUUAGUCCUAGUUGGUAGGGUAAUGGCCUACCAAGGGGUACGAUGGGUAGCUGGUCUGAGAGGAUGAUCAGCCACACUGGAACUGAGACACGGUCCAGACUCCUACGGGAGGCAGCAGGUGGGGAAUAUUGCGCAAUGGGGGAAACCCUGACGCAGCCACGCCGCGUGAGUGAUGAAGGCCUUCGGGUUGUAAAGCUCUGUCGGGAGGGACGAAGGGAGCAAUCUCUGACGGUACCUCGCAAGAAAGCACCGGCUAACUCUGUG
RNAcentral lists this ribosomal RNA (459 nucleotides) under uncultured bacterium. Its description in RNAcentral is "bacterial SSU rRNA". It matches the Rfam family "Bacterial small subunit ribosomal RNA", at positions 29 to 507 of the family's 1533-position model. The record is from RNAcentral.